RNAcentral lists this ribosomal RNA (253 nucleotides) under uncultured bacterium. RNAcentral's name for it is "partial 16S ribosomal RNA". It matches the Rfam family "Bacterial small subunit ribosomal RNA", at positions 524 to 776 of the family's 1533-position model. The record is from RNAcentral.
UACAGAGGGUGCGAGCGUUGUCCGGAAUUAUUGGGCGUAAAGAGCUUGUAGGCGGUUUGUCGCGUCUGCUGUGAAAAUCCGGGGCUCAACCCCGGACUUGCAGUGGGUACGGGCAGGCUAGAGUGUGGUAGGGGAGACUGGAAUUCCUGGUGUAGCGGUGGAAUGCGCAGAUAUCAGGAGGAACACCGAUGGCGAAGGCAGGUCUCUGGGCCACUACUGACGCUGAGGAGCGAAAGCGUGGGGAGCGAACAGG